GACCUGUAGGAUCAGAGUGGUGCAGUC
RNAcentral lists this non-coding RNA (27 nucleotides) under Rattus norvegicus (Norway rat). The record is from RNAcentral. Lineage: Eukaryota; Metazoa; Chordata; Mammalia; Rodentia; Muridae.